Molecule: ribosomal RNA, 398 nt
Filed under: uncultured bacterium
Lineage: Bacteria
Description: partial 16S ribosomal RNA
Rfam family: Bacterial small subunit ribosomal RNA
Source: RNAcentral
AUACGUAGGGCGCGAGCGUUGUCCGGAAUUACUGGGCGUAAAGAGCUCGUAGGUGGUUUGUCGCGUCGUCUGUGAAAUUCCGGGGCUUAACUCCGGGCGUGCAGGCGAUACGGGCAUAACUUGAGUACUGUAGGGGAGACUGGAAUUCCUGGUGUAGCGGUGAAAUGCGCAGAUAUCAGGAGGAACACCGGUGGCGAAGGCGGGUCUCUGGGCAGUAACGGACGCUGAGGAGCGAAAGCAUGGGUAGCGAACAGGAUUAGAUGCCCUGGUAGUCCAUGCCGUAAACGGUGGGCGCUAGGUGUAGGGGUCUUCCACGACUUCUGUGCCGUAGCUAACGCAUUAAGCGCCCCGCCUGGGGAGUUCGGCCGCAAGGCUAAAACUCAAAGGAAUUGACGGGG